CGAACGCUGGCGGUAUGCUUAACACAUGCAAGUCGAACGUGAAAGCAGACUUCGGUCUGUAAGUAAAGUGGCGCACGGGUGAGUAACACGUGGAUAAUCUACCCGACAAUCAGGGAUAACAUUUCGAAAGGGAUGCUAAUACCUGAUAAGCCCACGACCUCUUCGGAGGCUGUGGGAAAAGGUGGGGACCUUCGGGCCUACCGUUGUCGGAUGAGUCCGCGUCCCAUUAGCUAGUUGGUAGGGUAAUGGCCUACCAAGGCUACGAUGGGUAGCUGGUCUGAGAGGAUGAUCAGCCACACUGGAACUGAGACACGGUCCAGACUCCUACGGGAGGCAGCAGUGGGGAAUUUUGCGCAAUGGGCGGAAGCCUGACGCAGCAAUACCGCGUGAGUGAUGAAGGCUCUUGGGUCGUAAAGCUCUGUCAGAGGGGAAGAACCUCCUGUCGUUUAAUACGCGGCAGGCCUGACGGUACCCUCAAAGGAAGCACCGGCUAACUCC
RNAcentral lists this ribosomal RNA (498 nucleotides) under uncultured bacterium. Its description in RNAcentral is "bacterial SSU rRNA". It matches the Rfam family "Bacterial small subunit ribosomal RNA", at positions 30 to 504 of the family's 1533-position model. The record is from RNAcentral.